AGAGUUUGAUCCUGGCUCAGAAUGAACGUUGGNGGCGUGGAUUAGGCAUGCAAGUCGAGCGGACUCCGCAAGGGGUUAGCGGCGAAAGGGAGAGUAACGCGUGGAUAUCUACCCUCAGAUCCGGGAUAGCUACGGGAAACUGUAGGUAAUACCGGGUAAUGUCUCCGGACCAUAGGUGUGAUUCCGUCUGAGGAUGAUUCCGCGUCCUAUUAGCUUGUUGGCGGGGUAAUGGCCCACCAAGGCAAUGAUGGGUACUGGGUGUGAGAGCACGACCCAGCUCACUGGGACUGAGAUACUGCCCAGNACACCUACGGGUGGCUGCAGUCGAGGAUCUUCGGCAAUGGGCGCAAGCCUGACCGAGCGACGCCGCGUGCGGGAUGAAGGCCUUCGGGUUGUAAACCGCUGUCGUAGGGGAUGAAAUGCUGGUGGGUUCUCCCAUCGGUUUGACAUAUCCUAGGAGGAAGGACGGGCUAAGUUCGUGCCAGCAGCCGCGGUAAGACGAACCGUCCAAACGUUAUUCGGAAUUACUGGGCUUANAGGGUGCGUAGGCGGCGCGGAAAGUAGGGUGUGAAAUCCCUCNGCUCAACCGAGGAACUGCGCCCUANACUACCGUGCUCNAGGGAGAUANAGGUGAGCGGAACUUAGGGUGGAGCGGUGAAAUGCGUUNAUAUCCUAAGGAACAC
This 683-nucleotide ribosomal RNA is filed under the name uncultured bacterium. RNAcentral describes it as "bacterial SSU rRNA". It matches the Rfam family "Bacterial small subunit ribosomal RNA", at positions 8 to 709 of the family's 1533-position model. The record is from RNAcentral.